Molecule: long non-coding RNA, 865 nt
Organism: Gossypium arboreum
Lineage: Eukaryota; Viridiplantae; Streptophyta; Magnoliopsida; Malvales; Malvaceae
Exons: 3
Source: RefSeq, a predicted model, not a curated record
AUUCUUCGAUAUCAUUUCCCACAAUGUAUCUUAUUUCUUUCUCAGUCUUAAUUUAUACCCCAAAAUCCUAUCUUUGGUUUUUCACAAAGAAAUCUAUUUUUCACAAAUAUACAAACCUUGUUAUUCUAUUUUAGCUGCUCUUCACAUUGAGAAGCUAUCUUUUUGGUGUGUUUGCUUAGCUUCAAUCCACAUUGUCUUUGUUCCUAAGAAGAUGGAAGAAAUUCCUGGUAAUUGCAAUUAUUGGAACAGUCACCUGACAGGCAGGACAUGGUAUUUUGAUGGGUUGGCUGACUUGUUGGAACAAAUGUAGACGUGAUAAUGUAGAAAAUAACAAAGUAAUUCCUCAAUUAUUGCGUUUUUGAAGGUACUCAAAUCCCUACACUCAAUCUUGCAAUGCUUGAGGGUGUGUUUCUUUUUAAUGCUUUUCUAAUUCUUUGAGAAAUCAUUAUACUAAACAUGUAGAGUGUUUGAUAUUUUGGAUAAACAUAUCAUCUCUCUUGAUGCAUGUCUUCUAGGUUUUCGCCUAUUAAUCAAAGUGAAGAAAAUUGGUUGAAAUUAAGGAAGCUCUCUAGCAUAAAAAACUGAUUAGGUGAGUUUGCCAAAUGCUGCAAGUUGGGCUUAGGAUCCAAAUACCAUUCUUAAGUGUAAUCUAUGUAAUCCAAGUAAUUACUCAUCUUAACUUCUGGUUUUGUGGCACUUAGUGCAUCACUUGAAGAAUUUUUUAUAAUUGCCAAAUGUAGUGUAGAAAAAGGAUCAUGGAUGUUGUCUAUAAGAUAUUCUAUCACCUGCAAAAUACUUAUAUGAAUUUUGAUAUGUAUAACUGUAAAAGAAUCUGAUUUAAUCCAUCUUGGGGAUUCCAAACCUA